AAGGAAGUUCAGGGACCAAAAUGUAAAAACCACAUAGUUGGUUAUAUCUAUGCGACCGCAUAGUGUAACCAUCUAUGCGGUCGCAUAGAUGGAUACAGGGAAAAAAUUGGGCAUUUCAAAUGACCUAUGCGACCGCAUAGGUUUCUUCUAUGCGGUCGCAUAGAAGAAACUUCGGGUGGUUUUCUGCAGUUUCCUUUUUUGACUCCAACUCCUCUCUUACCUAAUUUGGACACACUAUAUAUACCCUAAAACACGUCCAGAACUGGGGUAGACAUUUUUGGGAGAAAAGAGGCACACAAGAACAUCAAGAUCCAAGAAUUUAUGCAAGAAGAAGGAAGAUUUCAUCAAGAUUGAAGAUUCCAAGCAACAAUUAUAAUAGGGUGAUGUCUUCUCCUUUAUUGAAUUUUUGUAAUUUUCUUCAAAAUAUGAUAGGCUAGGGUUUUUGUUCAUUAGGAAUUUGAUGAACCUUUUGAUGAUUUAAAUUUCUAUUAUUUCAUUAAUUCAACAAUAGUUUCGAUUGGACAAAUGUUUGAUUUAUAUGAUUUGAAUGCUUCCAUAAUUAUUUGGCCAAUUGUUAUGUGAUUAUAGAUGAUUUGUUCUUUGCAUUCGAAAGAAGGGGAAUAAAUUCGAUAGAAUAUAAAUUGACUUAGGGUCCGAUAGGGGAUGGAAACUUACCUCUAUGCUUUAUGCAAUUCAUGAAGAUGUUCAUAAAAAGUCAUGCAUUCUUGUACAUUGCAUCAUCCAUAGAAAUAUAGGCUGGUGGUGUGUAAGAGUAGAUUCAAUAUAUAUCGAGAGAGUGUAUUGGAUAAUUUAGGAACAUUGAAUUGGCAUUUUGUUCCAUCGAUUCGUUGAAUUUGUGAAAUUAGGGUUUUUAAUAGUCAAUUGGGGAUUCAAGUUCUUAAUGACUUCAUUUCACAAAAGAUAGUUCUAAAAUUGCAUAUUUACAUUUUAGUUGCGUGUUUAUUUCAUUCGACUAGUGAAAUUUCGAAAUUAAGGUUUCCAAUUUUGAAAUUAGGGUUUUCUUUGCAAUUAGGGUUUCGAAUUGGGGAUUUCUUCCAAAAUUAGGGCUUUUCACAUUUAAACCAAAUUUUCAUUCAAUUAGAUUCAGUUAAGGUCACAUUGAUUUAAUUAGACCUAAUUUAAUCCUCGUGGGAAAGAUUCUUGGACUCAUAGUCCAUUUUUACUACUUGUUAACGAAUCGUACACUUGCGGUGGGUUUUAAAAUUGAAAAGAAAUAUUUUGCGAACAAGUUUUAGCGCCGUUGCCGAGGAUUAAAUUUUAGAUUUAAUUAUAUCUUUUGUGACACUAAUUCGAACUUAUUCAUUUUAGUACUUGUUAAUUUUAUUAGAUUUAUUUAAUUAUUAUUUAUAUUGACUUUUUGUGUUAAUUUUGCCAUAUCAGGGCUUGCAUGCAAGGAGCACCUGAUCAAGAUUUGGUCCCUAUAGAUCCAGAGAUUGAACGCACAUUCCGUCACAGGCAAAGGGAAGCAAGAGUGGUACAACAAAUGGCUAACGAGCAAAAUCGACCAGGAAUUCCACUCAACGAAGGUGUGGCAGUGGAAGAGGAUGGAAAUACGGUACUUGGGGAUUUCAUGGCACCAUUGGUGGUGCAAAGUCAAUCUAGUAUCUUAUAUCCUCCAUUUGGGCAACCGAACUUCCAACUGAAGACAAACGUGAUUCAACUGUUUCAGAAUGGGCAUCAAUACCAUGGGAUGGCUAGUGAGAAUCCGCAUACACACAUAUCUCGAUUUCUUGAUAUGUGUCAACACUUCAGAUAUCAAGGUAUCUCUGAUAAUGCUAUAAGACUGCAUUUGUUCCCGCACACCUUGAGGGAUAAAGCACUUGAAUGGCUGGAUUCACUCCCUGUCGGAAGCAUCACCACUUGGAACGAGCUAGCUCAUAAAUUCUGCACCAAGUUCUUCUCGCCAGCUAAAGUAGCUAAAAUGCGGCAUGACAUCUCAAUAUUCAACCAGAUUGAGUCAGAGUCAUUUGAAGAGGCAUGGAACCGUUUCAAGAACAUGUUAAGGAAGUGCCCACAACAUGGCUUUGACAAGAAGACUCAGAUCAGAUUUUUCUACACUGGAUUACUCCCAUCAUUCAAGAGUAUGGUGGAUGCAUCAUCUGACGGGUCUAUCUCUACAAGAACAAUUGACGGAGCCUGGGAGUUGUUUGAAAGGAUGGCUACAACUUCAGCUAUGUGGUCUACAGAUCGAGUAGUUCAGAAGAGAGCACCUGGGGUGUAUGAAGUAGAUACUUACUCAGCACUGUCAGCGAAAAUAGAUUCCUUAUUCCAUAAGGUUGAAAGCAUUUCACAAACCGCCACUGCUAAGCAAAUUAUGAAGCAGAGUUGUGAAGAAUGUGGAGCAGAUCAUAGUACUGCUACUUGCCCAAUUCUGGCACAAGGGGUAGAACAUGCAGAAUUCACACAAUGGGGUCAGCGCCAGCAGAAUAACCCACAUUCAGAAACCUUCAAUCAAGGCUGGAGAAAACACCCAAAUUUCUCUUGGAGCAACCAGAAUCAAAAUAGACCACAAGGGCAAUAUCAGCAGCAAGAUAAAAAGCCAAAUUUGGAGGAUAUGUUCGAGAAAUUCAUGUCACACACCAAUCAGUACAUGGAAGCCAAUAACCAAUUUAUGCGAAGGACGGAAACAACGCUUCAAGAUCAAAGUGCAGCGAUCAAGAACUUGGAGACACAAGUGGGACAGAUAGCAAUUUCCAUAACAGGUAGAGCACCGGGAAACCUACCUAGCAAUACUGAAGUUAACCCUAAGGAACAUGCAAAGGCUAUAACAACCAGAAGUGGAGUACAACUGCCGGAACCACAUGUAACAAGUUCGGGAGCCAACAAGGAAGCAAUGCCAAUCAUGCAAGAAGAAGGUAGUGUGGAGCAAACUGACAAUGCAACAGAAGAUGAGGUUAAGAGGAACUCCAAGACAUUACAAGGUAAAAAUACUAAUCCUGUUAAUCCUCAUGAGCCUCCUAUUCCAUUUCCACAAAGGUUGAGAAAGCACAAAAUGAUCAGCAAUACAGUAAGUUCCUUGAAGUCUGCAAGAAACUGCAUAUCAACAUCCCAUUUGCUGAAGCACUUGUCCAAAUGUCGAGCUAUGCAAAAUUCUUGAAGGAUAUCCUAUCCAACAAGCGAAAGAUGGAAGAACACGAAACAGUAAUGUUGACUGAGGAAUGCAGCGCCAGAAUCCAGAGAAAGCUACCACCAAAACUGAAAGAUCCAGGGAGUUUUACUGUACCCUGCACUAUUGGAGACUGUUAUUUUGAUAAAGCUUUGUGUGAUUUGGGUGCAAGUAUUGAUCUAAUGCCUCUUUCUGUUUUCAGGAAACUCGGUUUGGGAGAAGCAAAAGCAACAACAGUGACAUUGCAAUUAACAGAUCAAUCCCUUACACAUCCAAGAGGAAUCAUUGAAGACGUGCUGGUAAAAGUGGAGAAGUUCAUAUUUCCAGCUGAUUUUCUUAUCUUGGACAUGGAAGAAGAUAAAGAUGUUCCACUCAUUUUGGGGCGACCUUUCUUAGCCACUGGGAGAGCAAUUGUAGAUGUUCAGAAGGGGCAGUUGAUAUUAAGACUUGGUGAAGAGCAAAUCUCUUUCAACGUGUUCAAAGCAAUGAAAUUCUCCACUGAGGCAGACAGUUGUUUCCAGAUCGAUGUAGUCGAUCGAAUAGUUCAAGACACAUUUCGGCUACAUCAUCCUUCCGAUGCAUAUGAGGUAUGCAUUGCACAUUCACAAUCCACCCAUUCUGAAUCAAGUGAGAUUGAGACAUGUGCUCAUUUUUUGGAGAGUAACCAGCCAUAUAUGCGCAGACGCUACUAUGAAGAGCUGGGAACUAGAACUGCAAAAUCAGUGCCAUCUAUUGUGAAACCACCCAAAUUGGAACUCAAACAACUGCCACCACAUCUUCGAUAUGCAUACCUGGGGGAAUCUUCUACACUACCUGUUAUUAUUUCAAGCACUGUCAGUGAGGUAGAGGAAGAGAAACUACUUCGGGUGUUAAGGGAGAAUAAAACAGCUAUUGGGUGGUCGAUUGCAGAUAUAAAGGGGAUCAGCCCAUCUAUAUGCAUGCAUAAGAUACUCAUGGAGGAAAAAUUUAAAUCAAGUAUUGAUGGGCAGCAGAGAUUGAAUCCACACAUGAAGGAAGUGGUUAGAGCUGAGGUAUUGAAGUUUCUCGAUGCAGGUAUUAUUUAUCCAAUAUCAGAUAGUGCAUGGAUCAGUGCAGUGCAAGUUGUUCCCAAGAAAGGAGGAAUCACAGUGAUAGAAAAUGAGAGAAAUGAGUUGAUUCCUACACGGACAGUGACUGGAUGGAGAGUGUGCAUUGAUUACCGUAAGCUUAACUCAGCUACUCGAAAGGAUCACUUUCCAUUACCGUUCAUUGAUCAGAUGUUGGAGAGAUUAGAAGGACAUUCGCACUACUGUUUCCUAGAUGGGUACUCCGGGUAUAAUCAGAUUCCAGUGGCACCAGACGAUCAGGAGAAGACCACUUUCACUUGCCCCUACGGCACCUUUGCAUACAGAAGGAUGCCAUUUGGAUUAUGCAAUGCUCCCGCUACCUUUCAGCGCUGCAUGAUGGCUAUUUUCUCAGACAUGAUUGAGAAAUUCAUCGAGGUAUUCAUGGAUGACUUCUCUGUGUUUGGAUCUUCAUUUGAUGAGUGCUUGGAGCAUCUAAGUCUUAUGCUGCAACGGUGUACGGAGACCAACUUGGUGUUGAAUUGGGAGAAAUGUCACUUUAUGGUGCAAGAAGGUAUCGUACUAGGGUACAAAAUUUCAGCAAAGGGUAUUGAAGUGGACAGGGCAAAGAUUCAGGUGAUCGAGAAUCUACCACCACCUACCUCAGUGAAGGGUGUUCGCAUUUUUCUUGGGCACGCUGGAUUCUACAGAAGGUUUAUCAAGGAUUUUUCAAAAAUUACCAAACCUCUGUGCUAUUUACUGAUGAAGGAGUCCACAUUUGAGUUUAAUGAUGAGUAUCUGCAGGCCUUUAACACUUUGAAAGAGAAGUUGACUUUAGCACCUGUAAUUAUCACACCGGAUUGGAAUCUGCCAUUUGAAUUAAUGUGUGACGCCAGUGAUUAUGCUGUGGGAGCCGUGUUGGGUCAACGAAGGAAUAAAGUAUUUCACGUGAUCUACUAUGCAAGUAAGACUUUGAACGAUGCUCAGUUAAAUUAUGCCACUAUGGAGAAAGAGCUUCUUGCUGUAGUCUAUGCGUUUGACAAAUUUCGAUCAUACCUUGUGGGGUCGAAGGUCAUAGUCUACACAGAUCAUGUCGCCAUCAGAUACUUGAUGGAGAAGAAGGAUGCUAAGCCACGCCUCAUCCGUUGGAUAUUGCUGCUUCAAGAGUUUGACCUGGAAAUUAAGGAUAAGAAAAGCAGUGAAAACGUGGUAGCGGACCACCUAUCUCGGCUUGAGGACACAGAACAGGAAGAGACAGUGGAAAUAAACGAGAUCUUCCCAGAUGAGCAGAUCUUUGGUGUGAUGGAAACACCCUGGUAUGCAGAUAUAGUUAACUAUUUAGCCAGGUCUAUCAUACCUCCAAAUUACUCAAGUCACCAGAAGAAGAAACUCUUCGCGGAAUUGAAGUACUACUUUUGGGAAGACCCCAUUCUCUACAGGCGGGGGGCUGAUCAAAUUGUUCGGCGUUGUGUACCACAGGAAGAAGUGCCUUUGAUAUUAGAGAACUGUCACUCAUCAAUAUAUGCAGGGCAUUUUGGUGCUUCUAAGACAGCAGCGAAAAUUCUCCAAUCAGGUUUUUACUGGCCCACACUCUUUAAGGACGCGUUUGAAUUUGUAAAGAGGUGUGACCGAUGUCAACGCACGGGUAACAUCUCUAGAAGAAAUGAGAUGCCUUUGAGUAGUAUCUUAGAGGUGGAAUUAUUUGACGUCUGGGGGAUCGAUUUCAUGGGGCCAUUCCCACCAUCUUUUCAAAUCAAUACAUUUUAGUGGCGGUGGACUGUGUUUCGAAGUGGGUUGAAGCGGUUGCAUUGCCUACAAAUGAUGAAAAAGUGGCGAUUGAGUUUGUGAAGAAGAAUAUUUUCACCCGGUUUGGGACACCGAGAGCCAUAAUCAGUGACGGGGGCACACAUUUCUGCAAUCGUCAGUUCGAGCAGUUGUUAUCAAAAUAUGGCGUCAAGCACCGCAUAGCCACCGCAUAUCAUCCCCAAACCAGCGGACAGGUCGAAGUAUCCAAUAGGCAAUUGAAGCGCAUUCUGGAAGUCACAGUUAACUCAUCACGAAAGGAUUGGUCAAAGAAACUGGAUGAUGCCUUGUGGGCCUACAAGACUGCAUUCAAGACUCCUAUAGGAAUGUCUCUAUAUCGACUGGUUUUUGGGAAAGCACGCCAUCUACCUCUCGAGAUCAAACAUCAUGCUUACUGGGCAAUGAAGAAGUUGAACUUGGAUUUGAAGGCUGCAGGUGAAAAACGGCUGUUACAACUGAAUGAACUUGAUGAACUCAGAAUGGAAGCCUAUGAGAACUCAAAGAUCUACAAAGAGCGCACCAAGAAAUGGCAUGACAUGCAUAUCCAGAGGCGUGACUUUCAAGUGGGGCAAAAAGUGUUACUGUAUAACUCCGGGCUUAAGCUGUUUUCAGGAAAAUUGAGAUCGAGAUGGUCUGGUCCAUAUACAAAUACACAAGUAUUUCCACAUGGGACAAUUAAGAUCACUCACGACAGCAAGGGGACAUUCAAAGUCAAUGGACAGCGGUUGAAGCACUACUGGGGCGGUGAUUUCUCAAAGGACAAGUCUACCGUCCAACUUGGAUCACCAGAAUGACGCAUUACGGUAAAGUCGAGCUAUCGACUAUAACAUAGCGCUGAGUGGGAGGCAACCCACUGUAUCCUUUAUUUUAUUUUAUUGCAUUGCAUUAGUUUAGAAAUUUGUUUGAAUUUAGUUUGUUUCUUAGGUCAUUGAUCAUAUUUUGCAUGAUAGCCUAGGCACUACACGUUUAAUGUUGCAUGAAUGGGUGUUGAAUGAAGUGUUUGGGUGUUCGAGUGUGUGUCACGCAUUCCUAUGUGCGAAGAUGUUCGUUUUGGUUAAACUUUCAGAAUGCGGGACAACAGUUAUGAAAAACUGAUUUUGGGCGAGUUUAAAUUUUAUAAAAAAAAAAUUUGACAAAAAUGGCUUUUUUUAUUUUAUUCUAUUUCUAAAAAAAAUAAAAAUAAAAAAAAUAAAAAAAAAAAUAAAAUUUUUUUCUAUGCGAUCGCAUAGACUUGGUGUCUAUGCGGCGCAUAGACACCAACCGAAACCCAAAGCCCCAUUUUUUUAUAUCUAUGCGACCGCAUAGAAUAUAACUAUCUUUCUUUUUCACUCCCAUUCAUUCCUCACCCAUUCUCUCUCGCCCAAUUUCAUCUUAGAUCCACUUUCCACACUUGAUUACAUCACAAUCACCUACACUCCACAAGGAUCUCGAAUUUAAGGUUGACAAUCAUCUUGAAGGUACUCCUCUUCCCUAUCUCCUCCAUGGUGCUCGUGUAUUUCAUGUAUUUCGAUUUGAUUUUCUGCAUUUUGGGAUGCUUGGGGAGUUGAUGAUGGAUGGAAUGUAUUGGUUAUAAUUCAAUUGUGUCAUGGGUAAUUCGAAUUUUGGGGAUAUUGGGUUUUAUAUGGUCUUCUUGGGAAUGCAUGUCAUGUGUUUGAUAAAUUGCCAAGUUGAUUGAUUUUUGGGUAUUUUGGGUACCCUUACCUUCAAUUCAUUUGAUUGAUGGGUGCUAUGUGCGUGGUACUUGAAUUGUGAACGCGGAACUAUGUGAACUCAUCAAUUGUUGGCUAGUAUAUGGAGAUCUCACAUUGCACACAACAUGCUCGAUGAAAUGCACAUGUGUGGUAAUCUUUUACAUUCACAAACAUCCAGCAUGGCAUUUGACUAUUCGAUGAAUGAAGUAACUCAUUGUGACGUAUUACCAAACAAUACGACUUAGACAACAUUACCACACACAUGUACGAAAAUAGCUAAGUCAUAGCAUGCCCAAGCACCCUCCGUCCUUUAUUUUACACUACUAUUUGACACACCAAAUGAACUCCGAUUGGGCUGAAAUUUGAAUAUGUGCUAGACCUCAUUGCAUACUUCCAUAUGCCCGGAGGAUGCCCGGGACAAUCUUGAUAAUUCUCGAUGAUGCCCAGGGCCGAAGGUGUACACUCAACCAUAACUCCAACCCUUUAACUAUGAGCACAUUCUUCCAAAAUUUCCUUAUAUUUCCAUGUGGACUAUACAUUUAUACUACUCUAAUCAUCAUACAUUGUUUAUUACACCGUGGUAGUAUACAUGCUUAUUGAAACAAGUUUGGGGGAUUUGUGUUUUCCGUGCUUUUCAUUUCAUGCGACUUCUCAUUGUAUAUCAAGAUGGCUAAUGCUUGCUAUUUUCUAACUUUGCAGGAUGCCACCAAAACGAACUUCAAAAGGGAAGGAGAAGGUCGGCUCAUCAUCCGGCACGGCACGCACUCGUGUGCUUGAAGGAGGUAUACAGAGAUUUUUAACUGCCGAGGCAGCAGCCCGUUAUGAGAACAUAGUGAGUCGUUGGACAGUUAUACCAGAAAGGGCUGUUAAGUUAGACGACUUUCCUGGUUUCGAGCUCACUACCUUGGUGCAGAACUGUGGAUGGCAUAAAAUAGUGGAGCAUCCACAUCGGAGUUAUGAACUGUUGGUGGGGGAAUUUUACGCCAACUUCAAUACUGAAAUUGACACACCAGGGUCCGAUCACUUACAUCAGACUUGGGUCCGGGGAAAAUGGAUCACAUUCUCACUCGAAGUUAUACAAGACUACUACCAGCUCACCUGGGAAAACAUAACACUUGUACCAGGUGACUUCAAUUGGCCUGAAGUGGCGGAGAUCUUAUUGGGGCGACAGAAUGCAUGGCCACUCCCCACUACUGAGUGGCAUCAGAUUGAGCUUACACCGUCUAUAGCGAUCCUGUGGCUGUUCAUGUGCCACAACAUUGAGCCUACCUCUCACAAGACCACAUUCACAGAUCCCACAGCUGGAUUCCUUUACCACUUGGUGUGAGACAUAGCUCAAUGAUCUUCCCAAGCCUCAUCUCCGAAAUUUGCAUAGCUGCUGGUAUAAACAUUGUAUCUGGGGAGGUGGCGGCCAAACCCAGCCCCACCAUAAAGCACAGUACUUUGGAGGCCCAAGACAGAGCCAGGUUAAAGCAUUGGGAGAAGCAAGAAAUUGAGAGGCGGAGACAGCAGAGAGAGCAAGGUCAAGAGCAAGCCGAGCAAGAAAUGCCUCAAGCUCCUCCUUCACAGGCUGAGUUGAAUGCGCAGUUGUGGCGCCAGAUUUUCACCACCACCACGGGGAUCAGCCGAGAUGUGCAGAGUCUCCAGCAGGCUAUGGGAACUUUGACGACUGAGAUGCAUACAGCCCACCGUGACGUCCACAUUGCCACUGAUAUGUCACGUGCCGCUCGCCAGGAUGCCCAGGCAGCUAGGAGGGAGAUGGACACUAUGAAUGGUCGACUAAGUGUGUAUGUGGGCAGAGUGGAUGGCAUCCAGCUGAGGGUAAAUGAAACUUGGGAGCGUUUAGGCCGUUUGGAGACACGGGUUGAGGGGAUCCACGAUGAAAUGACACAGCAGUCAGCACUGAUGAGGGAAAUCUUGGCGCGCCUACCUCCACCUCCAGCUGAUGAUACUGCGGGAUCUAGCUUCCCAUCACAGCCCCCGUUUUGAUCAGGGGAGUAUCGUUUGUCUCAUUUGUAUUCAUUUUCCUUAAAUUCUGCCUUCUAAACUUAUUUUUCACAUUGUGGACAAUGUCUUGUAUAAGUUUGGGGGAUGGUGGCAGUGGCAUAAUUUGAUUAAGACAUUCGGCAUGUAACUAAUUGCAUUUCCACAAUCUAGAUUUAUUUUUAAUAAUUGCUGCAUGAGACAUGCUUGUGAGUGAAUAUUUAUUAUGCUUAUGUAUGCUUGUGUGAGCUUAAUUGCCUUGUCGGCUAUGAUGUUACUAUUGGAUUGAUACAUUUCAGAACUUUGGGAUCGGUGCUAAUUAGGCUAACCUAUACUUGUUGCCGCAAUACUUAACAUUUAUUUUAUGCACGUCAUUCAUGCUUGACAUGUUAGAUAAGUGAUUGGGAUUUUGAGCAUAGAGUAGAGAGAUAGUUAUAACCUUCUAUUGAAUGAACCCGUAAAAUACCUUGAGACAGUUUGGUGAUAGUUGAACUAUUAUAGGCGAACAUUAAAAUGAGUGAGGCUCCGUGCAUGAAUUAUUGUGUGGAUUGCCUAGACCAGUAGGAUGAAGAGUAGGUGAAAAUCUUAAAUUGGGGGUUGGUUUUGGAAACUAAAUGUCCAGAAAAAUAACAAAGGGUAUAAAAUUAAUAUGCGAGAAUAAGACACUUCUUUUCAUGCCUUUAUGACUCGAGCAAGUAAGCCUGUAAGGAUAUUUCAAAAUCUGGUGCCCUAAGGUCAACUGGUCUGGGAGUCACCGGCCUAAAGCUCGAUACAUGGGUCAUAAAAAAAGCAAGAGGGAAAGAGGUUAAUAAAAAGUCAUCUGAUCGAGCCUUUGUAACUCGAGUGAAUAAGCCUGUAAGGGUUUAAAAACCUGGUGCCCUAAAGCCAGCUGGUUUGGGAGUCACCGGCCUAAAGCUCGUUACAUGAGUUAUAUAGAAAGCAAAUGAGAAGAUGAUGAGAAAAAAAAUAAAAAGAAUUUCAGAAAAUCAGAGAAAAGUGAGAAAAAUAAAAGAGAGACAAAAACAUGAAGAAAAGCCCUUUGGACAUUUGGUGGAAGAAACUAUACCUUUGAGGCAAGGCAAGUAGCCUAGUUUAAUCUUGAGUGUCGAAGCAAUCAAAACUUAGGAGAGCUUUCACUGGUUGACAUGUAAACUUGUGAUAGUGAGAUUGAUCCAAAUUACGAGAGGGUGAGAAAUACAGCUCUAUAAAAACUCCAAAUUUUAGAAACACAACCUCGGGAUAAUUGAGUGAAAAUAAUAAGUUUGGGGGUUGUGUAUCUCUCGAGCGAGUAAGGAUACAUUUGACCACUUAGGGUCGGGACUCAAACUCAUCAUGAAUUUGAUAUGUUAGUGUGAAUCCACACACAUACGUCAAGUAUGCAUUUAACAGGUAAAGGUUGAUGUCAUUUUACACUGAUAAAUUUUCAUAAACUCAAUUACUUAGUCCAAUCCUGAGCCAAGGCAAGGUGUUAAGCCAUGUUUGUUUAGCAUUGAGUCACUGCAUUGUUUGAGGACAAACAAUAGUUUAAGUUUGGGGGAUUUGAUAAGUAUGUUUUUACACACGUAUUUGGUUCACAAAUAUGACUUAAACAUAGAUAAAAUGGUUGAAUUGUGGCUUAAUCCUAUUAAAUUCAUGCAAUGUAGGUAUUUCAAUGGAAAUUGUGGAAUUCGGGAGAAAAAAGUCGAAGAAGGACCAAAACGCAACAAAGUGAUAGCUCGAGGACCAAAUGUGCAAAUAUUGAGAAGUUGAGCUAAAUGCAAAACGAGAGUGAAAACAUACCAAGUAAGAGCUCAAUGACAAAGCAAAAUAAUUGGAAGAAGAAAGUAUUGAAGAGGGACUGAAAUGAAGACAAUUGAAAGUUGGAGGACUAAAGCGCAAAUACUCAAAAGAUGUGCCGAAUGAGGGGCAUGAGAAUUGAUGGUGUCAAUCAUCAAUUGGAAGAUAAAAUUUGUUGAAAAGAUGAAGAAAUCGAAGAAAAAAGUCAAGAGAAGCAACAAGGAAGUUCAGGGACCAAAAUGUAAAAACCACAUAGUUGGUUAUAUCUAUGCGACCGCAUAGUGUAACCAUCUAUGCGGUCGCAUAGAUGGAUACAGGGAAAAAAUUGGGCAUUUCAAAUGACCUAUGCGACCGCAUAGGUUUCUUCUAUGCGGUCGCAUAGAAGAAACUUCGGGUGGUUUUUCUGCAGUUUCCUUUUUCGACUCCAACUCCUCUCUUACCUAAUUUGG
Molecule: long non-coding RNA, 11872 nt
Filed under: Olea europaea (common olive)
Lineage: Eukaryota; Viridiplantae; Streptophyta; Magnoliopsida; Lamiales; Oleaceae
Description: long non-coding RNA (OEUR_LNC010938)
Source: RNAcentral